RNAcentral lists this signal recognition particle RNA (67 nucleotides) under Asterionellopsis glacialis. Its description in RNAcentral is "partial Bacterial small signal recognition particle RNA". The stretch from base 5 to 50 matches the Rfam family "Bacterial small signal recognition particle RNA", at positions 23 to 68 of the family's 97-position model. From Rfam's summary of the family: The signal recognition particle (SRP) is a universally conserved ribonucleoprotein involved in the co-translational targeting of proteins to membranes. Lineage: Eukaryota; Bacillariophyta; Plagiogrammaphyceae; Rhaphoneidales; Asterionellopsidaceae. The record is from RNAcentral.
AGCCACUCGCCAACCGGGUCAGGUCCGGAAGGAAGCAGCCCUAACGAGAUCCGGCACGGGUCAUCGU